GGGGAUGUCGUACAGUGGUAGUACACUAUGUUUGCACCAUAGUAACUGGAGUUCGAUUCUCCACAUCUCCA
Cryptococcus amylolentus CBS 6039 is the source of this 71-nucleotide transfer RNA. It matches the Rfam family "tRNA". From Rfam's summary of the family: Transfer RNA (tRNA) molecules are approximately 80 nucleotides in length. Their secondary structure includes four short double-helical elements and three loops (D, anti-codon, and T loops). The record is from Rfam. NCBI's taxonomy places the organism in Eukaryota, Fungi, Basidiomycota, Tremellomycetes, Tremellales, Cryptococcaceae.